This 508-nucleotide ribosomal RNA is filed under the name uncultured Glomus. Its description in RNAcentral is "SSU rRNA". It matches the Rfam family "Eukaryotic small subunit ribosomal RNA", at positions 569 to 1078 of the family's 1831-position model. The record is from RNAcentral. Lineage: Eukaryota; Fungi; Glomeromycota; Glomeromycetes; Glomerales; Glomeraceae. RNAcentral also lists the same sequence under 1 other name.
AGCAGCCGCGGUAAUUCCAGCUCCAAUAGCGUAUAUUAAAGUUGUUGCAGUUAAAAAGCUCGUAGUUGAAUUUCGGGAUUAGCAGGUCGGUCGUGCCACUGGUACGUACUGGUCUUGCUGAUUCCUCCCUCUUGACGAGCCGUAAUGCCAUUAAUUUGGUGUUGCGGGGAAUCAGGACUGUUACUUUGAAAAAAUUAGAGUGUUUAAAGCAGGCAUGCGCUUGAAUACAUUAGCAUGGAAUAAUGAAAUAGGACGUUCGAUCUUAUUUUGUUGGUUUCUAGGAUUGACGUAAUGAUUAAUAGGGAUAGUUGGGGGCAUUAGUAUUCAAUUGUCAGAGGUGAAAUUCUUGGAUUUAUUGAAGACUAACUACUGCGAAAGCAUUUGCCAAGGAUGUUUUCAUUAAUCAAGAACGAAAGUUAGGGGAUCGAAGACGAUCAGAUACCGUCGUAGUCUUAACCAUAAACUAUGCCGACUAGGGAUCGGAUGAUGUUAAUUUUUUAAUGACUCA